RNAcentral lists this ribosomal RNA (485 nucleotides) under uncultured bacterium. RNAcentral describes it as "bacterial SSU rRNA". It matches the Rfam family "Bacterial small subunit ribosomal RNA", at positions 1 to 504 of the family's 1533-position model. The record is from RNAcentral.
CCCUUAGAGUUUGAUCCUGGCUCAGGACGAACGCUGGCGGCGUGCCUAACACAUGCAAGUCGAGCGGGGAGAAGAAUUCGUUUUUCUCUUUAGCGGCGGACGGGUGAGUAACACGUGGGUAACCUGCCUCAAAGUGGGGGAUAGCCUUCCGAAAGGAAGAUUAAUACCGCAUAAUAUCAUGGCGCUGCAUGGCGCAGUGAUUAAAGGAGCAAUCCGCUUUGAGAUGGACCCGCGGCGCAUUAGCUAGUUGGUGAGGUAACGGCCCACCAAGGCGACGAUGCGUAGCCGACCUGAGAGGGUGAUCGGCCACAUUGGAACUGAGACACGGUCCAGACUCCUACGGGAGGCAGCAGUGGGGAAUAUUGCACAAUGGGGGAAACCCUGAUGCAGCAACGCCGCGUGAGUGAUGAAGGCCUUCGGGUCGUAAAGCUCUUUGAUCAGGGACGAUAAUGACGGUACCUGAAAAACAAGCCAGAAUAAUCAUU